RNAcentral lists this ribosomal RNA (274 nucleotides) under uncultured bacterium. Its description in RNAcentral is "partial 16S ribosomal RNA". It matches the Rfam family "Bacterial small subunit ribosomal RNA", at positions 523 to 796 of the family's 1533-position model. The record is from RNAcentral.
AUACGUAGGGGGCGAGCGUUGUCCGGAAUUACUGGGCUUAAAGGGUGCGUAGGCGGGUCUGUAAGUGCUUUGUGAAAUCCCACGGCUCAAGCGUGGAACUGCUUGGUAGACUGCAGAUCUUGAGGUUGGUAGGGGCUGCCGGAACUCUAGGUGUAGCGGUGAAAUGCGUAGAUAUCUAGAGGAACACCAAAGGUGAAGACAGGCAGCUGGGCCAAUCCUGACGCUGAGGCACGAAAGCGUGGGGAGCAAACAGGAUUAGAAACCCCAGUAGUCC